UACAUACUCCCUCCGUCCCAAAAUUCCUGUCUUAGAUUUUUCUAGAUAUGAAUGUAUCUAGUCAAAUUUUAGUAUUUAGAUAUAUCUAUCUCUAAACAAACCUAAGAUAAAAAAUUUGGGACGGAGGGAGUAGUCA
RNAcentral lists this microRNA precursor (136 nucleotides) under Hordeum vulgare. Its description in RNAcentral is "microRNA MIR1122". It matches the Rfam family "MIR1120/MIR1122 microRNA precursor family". The record is from RNAcentral. Lineage: Eukaryota; Viridiplantae; Streptophyta; Magnoliopsida; Poales; Poaceae.